RNAcentral lists this ribosomal RNA (253 nucleotides) under uncultured bacterium. Its description in RNAcentral is "partial 16S ribosomal RNA". It matches the Rfam family "Bacterial small subunit ribosomal RNA", at positions 524 to 776 of the family's 1533-position model. The record is from RNAcentral.
UACGUAGGGAGCAAGCGUUGUCCGGAAUCAUUGGGCGUAAAGCGCGCGUAGGCGGCCUCGUAAGUCCGUUGUGAAAGUCAAAGGCUCAACCUUUGAAAGCCGAUGGAUACUGUGAGGCUAGAGUCCGGAAGAGGCGAGUGGAAUUCCCGGUGUAGCGGUGAAAUGCGCAGAUAUCAGGAGGAACACCGAUGGCGAAGGCAGCUCGCUGGGACGGUACUGACGCUGAGACGCGAAAGCGUGGGGAGCAAACAGG